UUAAAAAUCGUAAUUUUAGACUGAUAUUUUGCCUACAAUAUCAUGCAGAUAUAAAUUGAGCAUAUUGAGUAUUUAGGUAAGCAUAAUAUAUGUUUAGGGGUAAAUAGCAUAAUUAAGGACAAUUAAGCCAUUUACACCUAAACAUAAGCUAUACUUUCCUAAAUAUGGGAUAUAUAUGGACUGCUUGUAUGAUUUAUGGAUAUCACAAUAUCUUUGUAAUAUUGUAGGCAAGAGAUCAGCCUAAAACUUGACUACUCC
Molecule: microRNA precursor, 258 nt
Filed under: Glycine max (soybean)
Lineage: Eukaryota; Viridiplantae; Streptophyta; Magnoliopsida; Fabales; Fabaceae
Description: miR10411 stem-loop (gma-MIR10411)
Source: miRBase by way of RNAcentral